ACGAACGCUGGCGGCAUGCCCAACACCUGCAAGUCGAACGCGACCUUCGGGUCUAGUGGCGCACGGGUGCGUAACGCGUGGGAACCUGCCCUUAGGUUCGGAAUAACUCCCCGAAAGGGGUGCUAAUACCGGAUAAUGUCUUCGGACCAAAGAUUUAUCGCCUUUGGAUGGGCCCGCGUUGGAUUAGCUAGUUGGUAGGGUAAAAGCCUACCAAGGCGACGAUCCAUAGCUGGUCUGAGAGGAUGAUCAGCCACACUGGGACUGAGACACGGCCCAGACUCCUACGGGAGGCAGCAGUGGGGAAUAUUGGACAAUGGGCGAAAGCCUGAUCCAGCAAUGCCGCGUGAGUGAUGAAGGCCUUAGGGUUGUAAAGCUCUUUUACCCGGGAUGAUAAUGACAGUACCGGGAGAAUAAGCUCCGGCUAACUCCGU
RNAcentral lists this ribosomal RNA (431 nucleotides) under uncultured bacterium. Its description in RNAcentral is "partial 16S ribosomal RNA". It matches the Rfam family "Bacterial small subunit ribosomal RNA", at positions 29 to 506 of the family's 1533-position model. The record is from RNAcentral.